RNAcentral lists this long non-coding RNA (1176 nucleotides) under Pan troglodytes (chimpanzee). RNAcentral describes it as "lncRNA (ENSPTRG00000053689.1)". The record is from RNAcentral. Lineage: Eukaryota; Metazoa; Chordata; Mammalia; Primates; Hominidae.
GGGAGUGAUAACACCAGGGGACAAUCAGGAGUUUCGUCAGCGAUGUUCUGCUAAAAAGAAACAACUGCAGUCUUGAAGCAACACAUUUGAGAGAUAGGAGAGAAAGAGAGAACGUCUUGUACCUCCCCCGACCCCUGGGCUUCUAAAUGCUUCAAGGCUGCUCCAAAUUGCAGUGGGGAGAGGCUGGCUUCGGGAGCUGUCUUCUGAAUGACAAGGAGGUCCUGCCUGCCUGAAAUGUGCUAGGACUGGACAGAAGAGAAGGUUGAGCAGGCUGACAGAUGAAGACAACCUCAUGCCUAGAAGAAUUGCAAGGGCAGACUUGAAUCUCAUGCUUCGGUCUCCUGAGCAACUCUGAAGGGCAAGUGUCUUCCGCACGAGCUAUGUCGACUGAGGAAACCCCAGUGGAGUUUCCAGGGUCCACCAUGGCACCUGCUCCUUCCUCCAAUAGAAGACAACUGAUUGUUCCUGGUCCCUUGGUCCCAUACCUUGUUGUGCUCUGGUGGGGAAUAGAUACCUAUUCCUGGAGUUUGGCAACAUUUCAUGGUGGAGAGAAAAACAUCCCAAGGAUCUGUACAUAAAUAGCUGGUGCACAUCGGUCUCAGGUGUAAACAGAAGGAAGUCCAAGGAAGCCAAGUGGGAAGAUCCUUGCUGGUUUCUCCCUCUGAGGAAGAAGGAAAAUGCCAUGACUCCCAGUAUGGCCUCUCUUGGAACCAUAUUUUGAGGUACCCUACUUCCUUCUUGAGUGUCAGCAGAGCAACUGUGGGACUGCCAUGAGAUUUGGUCAUUUCUAGGAGAGCGAAUGCCUUUUGCCUCUUUGAUGAGAAAACUAGAUGAGACAUUGUUUAGAAAUUCUUGAGCUCAGACUUUGGCAUUAUGACAACGUGUGUUCAAAUCUGCCCCAGCCACUUGCGAGCUGGGACCUAAAGCCGUGAGCUUCUGGUUGUUUAUCUAUAACAAGCGGAUCCCAGUACCUACCUCAUAGGGCUGCUGCGAGGAUUAAAAUAAAAUGCAUCUAUCAGCCAGCUUGCAGUGUCUGCACUUAGCAGGUGCUCAGGUGCAAUACCUUGAUAGUUUUGAUAGUUUGUGAUGUUUAUUCUGUUCCUCAUUAGCAUGCAUAUGUGUCUGUAUCUUGUCAAUAUAAGUCAAUAUUUUAAAAUGUGUGAGUCAGGGUUUUAA